This 478-nucleotide ribosomal RNA is filed under the name uncultured bacterium. RNAcentral's name for it is "partial 16S ribosomal RNA". It matches the Rfam family "Bacterial small subunit ribosomal RNA", at positions 28 to 523 of the family's 1533-position model. The record is from RNAcentral.
GACGAACGCUGGCGGCGUGCUUAACACAUGCAAGUCGAACGGUAAGGCCCUUCGGGGUACACGAGUGGCGAACGGGUGAGUAACACGUGGGUGAUCUGCCCUGCACUUCGGGAUAAGCCUGGGAAACUGGGUCUAAUACCGGAUAGGACUCCGGACUGCAUGGUCUGGGGUGGAAAGCUUUUGCGGUGGGGGAUGGGCCCGCGGCUUAUCAGCUUGUUGGUGGGGUGAUGGCCUACCAAGGCGACGACGGGUAGCCGGCCUGAGAGGGUGACCGGCCACACUGGGACUGAGAUAUGGCCCAGACUCCUACGGGAGGCAGCAGUGGGGAAUAUUGCACAAUGGGCGCAAGCCUGAUGCAGCGACGCCGCGUGAGGGAUGACGGCCUUCGGGUUGUAAACCUCUUUCAGCAUCGACGAAGCGAAAGUGACGGUAGGUGCAGAAGAAGGACCGGCCAACUACGUGCCAGCAGCCGCCGUAA